This 211-nucleotide long non-coding RNA is filed under the name Elaeis guineensis (African oil palm). RNAcentral describes it as "long non-coding RNA (EGUI_LNC013864)". Lineage: Eukaryota; Viridiplantae; Streptophyta; Magnoliopsida; Arecales; Arecaceae. The record is from RNAcentral.
AAUAUAUUUAAUGUAUGUUACAGAUUGCUUUUCAAAUUAAACAUGAUGAAAAUAUUUUUUCCCUCCAAAAUAAAGUAUUUUUACUAUUUUAAAAUCUGGUUAGACAUUACAAAUAUUGUUCUUUUCUUUCUCUUCAUCUUUAUUUUGUUGAGCUUCUGCUUGAGCGUCUAGAUAUCCGAAGUUUAUUCUGCAGCAAAAAUUAUUCGCCCGA